Molecule: transfer RNA, 73 nt
Filed under: Stegodyphus mimosarum
Lineage: Eukaryota; Metazoa; Arthropoda; Arachnida; Araneae; Eresidae
Rfam family: tRNA
About the family: Transfer RNA (tRNA) molecules are approximately 80 nucleotides in length.
Source: Rfam by way of RNAcentral
GCUUUCGUGGUGCAAUUGGAAGCACGCCCGGCUAGUAAUCGGGAAGUACGAAGUUCGAAUCCCGGCGAGGGUA